Molecule: ribosomal RNA, 511 nt
Filed under: Theileria cervi
Lineage: Eukaryota; Apicomplexa; Aconoidasida; Piroplasmida; Theileriidae
Description: SSU rRNA
Rfam family: Eukaryotic small subunit ribosomal RNA
Source: RNAcentral
GAGGGCAAGUCUGGUGCCAGCAGCCGCGGUAAUUCCAGCUCCAAUAGCGUAUAUUAAAAUUGUUGCAGUUAAAAAGCUCGUAGUUGAAUUUCUGCUGCUCCGCAUUUUCCCUUUGAGGGGUUUUUGCGCUGUGGCUUAUUUCGGACUGUGUUUCGCACUGUCCGGAUGUUUACUUUGAGAAAAUUAGAGUGCUCAAAGCAGGCUUUUGCCUUGAAUAGUUUAGCAUGGAAUAAUAAAGUAGGACUUUGGUUCUAUUUUGUUGGUUUUAGGUACCAAAGUAAUGGUUAAUAGGAACAGUUGGGGGCAUUCGUAUUUAACUGUCAGAGGUGAAAUUCUUAGAUUUGUUAAAGACGAACUACUGCGAAAGCAUUUGCCAAGGAUGUUUUCAUUAAUCAAGAACGAAAGUUAGGGGAUCGAAGACGAUCAGAUACCGUCGUAGUCCUAACCAUAAACUAUGCCGACUAGAGAUUGGAGGUCGUCAGUUUUUACGACUCCUUCAGCACCUUGAGGG